This 449-nucleotide ribosomal RNA is filed under the name uncultured bacterium. RNAcentral describes it as "bacterial SSU rRNA". It matches the Rfam family "Bacterial small subunit ribosomal RNA", at positions 355 to 796 of the family's 1533-position model. The record is from RNAcentral.
UCGAGAAUCUUUCGCAAUGGGCGAAAGCCUGACGAAGCGACGCUGCGUGAGCGAUGAAGGCCUUCGGGUUGUAAAGCUCUUUCGCAUGGGAACAAGAGAGAGGUGUGAAUAACACUUUGAUUUGAGGGUACUGUGAUAAGAAGCACCGGCUAACUCCGUGCCAGCAGCUGCGGUAAUACGGAGGGUGCAAGCAUUAAUCGGAAUUAUUGGGCGUAAAGGGCGCGUAGGCGGAUUUAUAAGUCAGAUGUGAAAUUCCGAAACUCAAUUUCGGAGCUGCAUUUGAAACUGUAGGUCUUGAGGGAUGGCGGAGAAAAUGGAAUUCCACGUGUAGCGGUGAAAUGCGUAGAUAUGUGGAAGAACACCUGUGGCGAAAGCGGUUUUCUAGCUAUGACCUGACGCUGAGGCGCGAGAGCAAGGGGAGCAAACAGGAUUAGAUACCCGCGUAGUCC